AUCAGAACACUCUGGAGCAGAGGGGGCCAGCCACACACUUCUGAGGCACAAAAGGGGAGACAACCAAAAUGUCCCCAACAUGUACACCUUUUCCUGAGCAAUCAACUACCAGGCGCUGCUGUUACGGUCUGGUGUCAAUGUCACCACAGGCUCACAAGUUUGAACACUUGCUCCCCAACUGGCAGAUGUGAUUCUUCCUAUCAGCACUCUCCUCCGCCGGCAUAGCGGCCAGCAACAAGCAGCGCCAUUUAACCAAUAUUGGUGCCGUGACCCGGAUACACCACCGAGCACCGAGGACCUGCUGUGACCGCUGCCUCCUCUUCCCCCAUUCAGACCGCGAGCACGCAUCCCUCGCCACCUCCACUGGACCCCCACACAGCUACCACUGCCGUCACCACAGGGAAAUAGUGUCAAUGGUGGACCAACUGCAGUACAGUCGCAGCCCUCACAUCCCUUGACGAAGAGGACUCGUGACUUAAGCUGAUGCAUAGAUCUUUCUUCACUCUUGGGGACGCCUGAGAUUGUAGUCUGAUCCCAGUUUGUUAAUUUAAUUUUUUAUUUUUCUCUAGGCUACAGCCAUGAGACAAAGGGGUGGAUACUUUUGCCACCUACACUG
Molecule: non-coding RNA, 616 nt
Organism: Peromyscus maniculatus bairdii (prairie deer mouse)
Lineage: Eukaryota; Metazoa; Chordata; Mammalia; Rodentia; Cricetidae
Source: RefSeq, a predicted model, not a curated record